RNA transcript from Sapajus apella (tufted capuchin), 1231 nucleotides. It is a transcript of the gene named triosephosphate isomerase pseudogene, with no coding region annotated. Lineage: Eukaryota; Metazoa; Chordata; Mammalia; Primates; Cebidae. The transcript has a single exon. The record is from RefSeq and is a predicted model, not a curated record.
GACACUGACCUUCAGCGCCUCGGCUCCAAUGCCAUGGCGCCCUCUAGGAAGCUCUUCGUGGGUAGCAGGGUGGAGAACUGGAAGAUGAACAGGCAGAAGAGUCUGGGGGAGCUCAUCCACACUCUGAACGCGGCCAAGGUGUCCACUGACACCGAGUCGUUUGGGCUCCCCCUACUGCCUAUAUCGACUUUGCCCGGCAGAAGCUACAUCCCAAGAUUGCUGUGGCUGUGUGGAACUGCUACAAAGUGACUAACGGGGCCUUUACUGGGAGAUCAGCCCUGGCAUGAUCAAAAACUGCAGAGCCACGUGGGUGGUCCUGGGGCACUCGGAGAGAAGGCAUGUCUUUGGGUAGUCAGAUGAGCUGAUUGGGCAGAAAGUGGUCCAUCCUCUGGCAGAGGGACUCAGAGUAAUUGCCUGCAUUGGGGAGAAGUUAGAUGAAAGGGAAGCUGGCAUCACUAAGAAGGUUGCUUUUGAGCAGACAAAGGUCAUCGCAGAUCACAUGAAGGACUGGAACUAGGUCGUCCUGGCCUGUGAGCCUGUGUGGGCCAUUGGUACCGGCAAGACUGCAACACCCCAACAGGCCCAGGAAGUACAGGAGAAGCUCAAGGAUGGCUUAAGUCCAAAGUCUCUGAUGCAGUAGCUGCGAGCACCUGUAUCAUUUAUGGAGGCUGUAUGACUGGGGCAAUCGGCAAGGAGCUGGCCAGCCAGCCUGAUGUGGAUGGCUUCCUCGUGGGUGGUGCUUCCCUCAAGCCCAAAUUCGUGAACAUCAUCAAUGCCAAACAAUGAGCCCCAUCCAUCUUUCUUACCCUUCCUGCCAAACCAAGGGACUAAGCAGCCCAGAAGCACAGUAACUGCUCGUCCCCUGCACAUGCUUCUGAUGGUGUCAUCUGCCCCCUCUUGUGGCCUCAUCCAAACUGAACCUUUACUGUUUAUAUCUUCACCCUGUAAUGGUUGGGACCAGGCCAAUCCCUUCUCCACUUACUAUAAUGGUUGAAACUAAACGUUACCAAGGUGGCAUCUCCUUGGCUGAGAGGUGUAAGGGAUGGAAUCUGCUCCUGGGUCCCCUAGACCCUCUUGAGGGCAGGAGAGAAAAUAUCCUCUCCCUUCUUAUACCAUGAGGCCAAGCACCUCCCCUGAGAAGCCAGGAAUACUGCCCUCUCCCACGGUCCCCAUGCCUGUGUGUGCUGUGUAUAUGAACCACCCACAUGUAAAGGAAUAAACACCUGGCACU